RNAcentral lists this ribosomal RNA (69 nucleotides) under Fusarium neocosmosporiellum. Its description in RNAcentral is "partial 28S ribosomal RNA". Lineage: Eukaryota; Fungi; Ascomycota; Sordariomycetes; Hypocreales; Nectriaceae. The record is from RNAcentral.
GAAUGUUGACCUCGAAUCAGGUAGGAAUACCCGCUGAACUUAAGCAUAUCAAUAGUCCAGAAGAAUGAU